UAUAUACGUGAUCGGGAGGACGAGCUGCACCUCGAGGAGGGUGGAGGAGGGAUCGGGGAGCUCUCGACUGGGUAGGACUUCGCCAAGUGCGGAAGGCUUUGGGCACGACGGGGCUUUGGUCAGAGGUGAGGGGAGAAGAGGCUUUGGUUGAGAUGCGGCUCGGGACGAGCUUCCUAUGGCUCGAGGUGAGGGGUGGAGCACGCAGCAGCCUCUGGAGAGGCUAUUUAUAACCAGCUCAGGGUCGGUUCCGCGGUGGUCAGGGCAUAAGCAUGGCGGUUGUGACCGGCUCUAGCGAUGCUCAGGCGUAGCAGGGCGGCAGCAGGGGAUGCAGGGCAGCAGGAAGACGAUGCAGGGAGGGGACCGGGUCACCUCCCAAAUGGAGGAGGUCUGGGCGGCGCCGGCC
RNAcentral lists this long non-coding RNA (403 nucleotides) under Hordeum vulgare. RNAcentral's name for it is "long non-coding RNA (HVUL_LNC003831)". The record is from RNAcentral. Lineage: Eukaryota; Viridiplantae; Streptophyta; Magnoliopsida; Poales; Poaceae.